GAAAGGGCGUGGAAGAGAAACACGCCUGGGCUGGGAUAUCGGGCGGAUAGAAAUCUAUACAUUUAUUAUAGAAGGAACCCGGUAGGAUGCAGACACCAGAGAGCAGAGAUACUGCAAGCAUCCGCAGCCUCAGUUAAA
This is a non-coding RNA of Lachnoclostridium sp. An76, 138 nucleotides long. The record is from Rfam. Lineage: Bacteria; Bacillati; Bacillota; Clostridia; Lachnospirales; Lachnospiraceae.